RNAcentral lists this ribosomal RNA (301 nucleotides) under uncultured bacterium. RNAcentral describes it as "partial 16S ribosomal RNA". It matches the Rfam family "Bacterial small subunit ribosomal RNA", at positions 509 to 808 of the family's 1533-position model. The record is from RNAcentral.
CAGUAGCCGCGGUAAUACGUAGGUCCCGAGCGUUGUCCGGAUUUAUUGGGCGUAAAGCGAGCGCAGGCGGUUAGAUAAGUCUGAAGUUAAAGGCUGUGGCUUAACCAUAGUACGCUUUGGAAACUGUUUUACUUGAGUGCAAGAGGGGAGAGUGGAAUUCCAUGUGUAGCGGUGAAAUGCGUAGGUAUAUGGAGGAACACCGGUGGCGAAAGCGGCUCUCUGGCUUGUAACUGACGCUGAGGCUCGAAAGUGUGGGGAGCAAACAGGAUUAGAUACCCCCGUAGUCCCUGUCUCUUAUACC